RNAcentral lists this ribosomal RNA (797 nucleotides) under uncultured Actinomycetes bacterium. RNAcentral's name for it is "bacterial SSU rRNA". It matches the Rfam family "Bacterial small subunit ribosomal RNA", at positions 85 to 896 of the family's 1533-position model. Lineage: Bacteria; Bacillati; Actinomycetota; Actinomycetes. The record is from RNAcentral.
GGGUACACGAGUGGCGAACGGGUGAGUAACACGUGGGUGACCUGCCCUGCACUUCGGGAUAAGCCUGGGAAACUGGGUCUAAUACCGGAUAGGACCGCACCGUGAGGGUGUGGUGGAAAGUUUUUUCGGUGUGGGAUGGGCCCGCGGCCUAUCAGCUUGUUGGUGGGGUAAUGGCCUACCAAGGCGGCGACGGGUAGCCGGCCUGAGAGGGUGGACGGCCACAUUGGGACUGAGACACGGCCCAGACUCCUGCGGGAGGCAGCAGUGGGGAAUAUUGCACAAUGGGCGGAAGCCUGAUGCAGCGACGCCGCGUGGGGGAUGACGGCCUUCGGGUUGUAAACUCCUUUCACCAUCGACGAAGGGUUUCUGACGGUAGAUGGAGAAGAAGCACCGGCUAACUACGUGCCAGCAGCCGCGGUAAUACGUAGGGUGCGAGCGUUGUCCGGAAUUACUGGGCGUAAAGAGCUCGUAGGUGGUUUGUCGCGUCGUCUGUGAAAUUCCGGGGCUUAACUCCGGGCGUGCAGGCGAUACGGGCAUAACUUGAGUACUGUAGGGGAGACUGGAAUUCCUGGUGUAGCGGUGAAAUGCGCAGAUAUCAGGAGGAACACCGGUGGCGAAGGCGGGUCUCUGGGCAGUAACUGACGCUGAGGAGCGAAAGCAUGGGGAGCGAACAGGAUUAGAUACCCUGGUAGUCCAUGCCGUAAACGGUGGGCGCUGGGUGUGGGUUUCCUUCCACGGGAUCCGUGCCGUAGCUAACGCAUUAAGCGCCCCGCCUGGGGAGUACGGCCGCAAGGCUA